AUUGAACGCUGGCGGCAGGCUUUAACACAUGCAAGUCGAGCGGGGAAAGGUAGCUUGCUACCUGACCUAGCGGCGGACGGGUGAGUAAUGCUUAGGAAUCUGCCUAUUAGUGGGGGACAACAUUCCGAAAGGAAUGCUAAUACCGCAUACGCCCUACGGGGGGGGAAAAGCAGGGGAUCUUCGGACCUUGCGCUAAUAGAUGAGCCUAAGUCAGAUUAGCUAGUUGGUGGGGUAAAGGCCUACCAAGGCGACGAUCUGUAGCGGGUCUGAGAGGAUGAUCCGCCACACUGGGACUGAGACACGGCCCAGACUCCUACGGGAGGCAGCAGUGGGGAAUAUUGGACAAUGUGCGAAAGCCUGAUCCAGCCAUGCCGCGUGUGUGAAGAAGGCCUUUUGGUUGUAAAGCACUUUAAGCGAGGAGGAGGCUACUUAGAUUAAUACUCUAGGAUAGUGGACGUUACUCGCAGAAUAAGCACCGGCUAACUCUGUG
RNAcentral lists this ribosomal RNA (490 nucleotides) under uncultured bacterium. RNAcentral's name for it is "bacterial SSU rRNA". It matches the Rfam family "Bacterial small subunit ribosomal RNA", at positions 30 to 507 of the family's 1533-position model. The record is from RNAcentral.